This 251-nucleotide ribosomal RNA is filed under the name uncultured prokaryote. RNAcentral's name for it is "partial 16S rRNA". It matches the Rfam family "Bacterial small subunit ribosomal RNA", at positions 525 to 775 of the family's 1533-position model. The record is from RNAcentral.
ACGGAGGGUGCAAGCGUUAAUCGGAAUUACUGGGCGUAAAGCGCACGCAGGCGGUUUGUUAAGUCACAUGUGAAAUCACCGGGCUCAACCCGCGAACUACAGCUCAUAAUCGCAAGCUUGAGUGUCGUAGAGGGGGGUAGAAUUACAGGUGUAGCCGUGAAAUGCGAAAACAUCUGGACGACCCCUGCUGGCGAAGGCGGUAUACUGGAAGAAGAAUGAAGCUGAGGUGGGACAGCGUGGGAAGCAACCAG